UGGGAUAGAAAUAGGCUGAGUGCCCAGGGCCAGAUCAAUACAAAAAUCAAUAUCCCUGUCAGGAGGCAUACCCGGCAGGUCUGAAGGGAUAACCUCUGGGAACUCUCGAACAAUGGGAACAAAGUCGAUAGAUGGAACCUCUGCGCUAGAGUCGCGAACAUACGCCAAAUAUGAUAAACACCCCUUCUCGGCCAUUCGUCGAGC
Molecule: long non-coding RNA, 204 nt
Filed under: Nicotiana benthamiana
Lineage: Eukaryota; Viridiplantae; Streptophyta; Magnoliopsida; Solanales; Solanaceae
Description: long non-coding RNA (NBEN_LNC008823)
Source: RNAcentral